Molecule: ribosomal RNA, 496 nt
Filed under: uncultured bacterium
Lineage: Bacteria
Description: partial 16S ribosomal RNA
Rfam family: Bacterial small subunit ribosomal RNA
Source: RNAcentral
AUUGAACGCUGGCGGAAUGCUUUACACAUGCAAGUCGAACGGUAGAGGGGGCAACCCCUCGAGAGUGGCGAACGGGUGAGUAAUAUAUCGGAACGUGCCCAGUCGUGGGGGAUAACGUAGUGAAAGUUACGCUAAUACCGCAUACGAUCUAAGGAUGAAAGCGGGGGAUCGCAAGACCUCGCGCGAUUGGAGCGGCCGAUAUCAGAUUAGGUAGUUGGUGGGGUAAAGGCUCACCAAGCCAACGAUCUGUAGCUGGUCUGAGAGGACGACCGGCCACACUGGAACUGAGCUGCGGUCCAGACUCCUACGGGAGGCAGCAGUGGGGAAUUUUGGACAAUGGACGCAAGUCUGAUCCAGCCAUUCCGCGUGCAGGAUGAAGGCCCUCGGGUUGUAAACUGCUUUUGUACGGAACGAAAAGGUCUCUCUUAAUACGGGGGACUCAUGACGGUACCGUAAGAAUAAGCACCGGCUAACUACGUGCCAGCCGCCGCCGUAA